AUUUAUAUAAUAUAUCCAGUAUUCUUGAUUUCCAAUCAAAUAGUUUAAAAUAAAUUUAAUAUAAAUA
This 67-nucleotide transfer RNA is filed under the name Parapsyche elsis. RNAcentral's name for it is "tRNA-Gly". Lineage: Eukaryota; Metazoa; Arthropoda; Insecta; Trichoptera; Hydropsychidae. The record is from RNAcentral.